GAUGAACGCUGGCGGCGUGCCUAACACAUGCAAGUCGAGCGAAGCACUUACUUUAGCUUUCUUCGGAAUGACGAAGUUUGUGACUGAGCGGCGGACGGGUGAGUAACGCGUGGGCAACCUGCCCUGUACAGGGGGAUAACAGUUAGAAAUGACUGCUAAUACCGCAUAAGCCCACAGCUUCGCAUGAAGCAGUGGGAAAAACUCCGGUGGUACAGGAUGGGCCCGCGUCUGAUUAGCUAGUUGGUAAGGUAACGGCUUACCAAGGCGACGAUCAGUAGCCGACCUGAGAGGGUGACCGGCCACAUUGGGACUGAGACACGGCCCAAACUCCUACGGGAGGCAGCAGUGGGGAAUAUUGCACAAUGGGGGAAACCCUGAUGCAGCGACGCCGCGUGAGCGAUGAAGUAUUUCGGUAUGUAAAGCUCUAUCAGCAGGGAAGAAAGUGACGGUACCUGACGAAGAAGCCCCGGCUAACUACGUG
This 481-nucleotide ribosomal RNA is filed under the name uncultured bacterium. RNAcentral's name for it is "partial 16S ribosomal RNA". It matches the Rfam family "Bacterial small subunit ribosomal RNA", at positions 28 to 507 of the family's 1533-position model. The record is from RNAcentral.